RNAcentral lists this ribosomal RNA (377 nucleotides) under uncultured bacterium. Its description in RNAcentral is "bacterial SSU rRNA". It matches the Rfam family "Bacterial small subunit ribosomal RNA", at positions 521 to 896 of the family's 1533-position model. The record is from RNAcentral.
UAAUACGAACCGUCCAAACGUUAUUCGGAUUCAUUGGGCUUAAAGGGUACGUAGGCGGCCCUGUCAGUCGGGUGUGAAAUCCCUCGGCUCAACCGAGGAACUGCGCCCGAUACUGCAGGGCUUGAGGGAGACAGAGGUAAGCGGAACUGAUGGUGGAGCGGUGAAAUGCGUUGAUAUCAUCAGGAACACCGGUGGCGAAAGCGGCUUACUGGGUCUCUUCUGACGCUGAGGUACGAAAGCUAGGGGAGCGAACGGGAUUAGAUACCCCGGUAGUCCUAGCUGUAAACGAUGAGCACUUGAUCGUGGGGCCCCCCAUAGCCUCUCGGUCGAAGCGAAAGUGAUAAGUGCUCCGCCUGGGGAGUAUGGUCGCAAGGCUG